GAUGAAGAACGCAGCGAAAUGCGAUAAGUAGUGUGAAUUGCAGAAUUCAGUGAAUCAUCGAAUCUUUGAACGCACAUUGCGCCCCUUGGUAUUCCAUGGGGCAUGCCUGUUCGAGCGUCAUUUGUACCUUCAAGCUUUGCUUGGUGUUGGGUGUUUGUCCAUUCUCUUGCAGAGGGACUCGCCUUAAAGUACUUGGCAGCCAGUGUUUUGGUUUUGAAGCGCAGCACAAGUCGCGAUUCAACGCUAUACGCCAGCUUCCACAAGCCUUUUUCACUUUUGACCUCGGAUCAGGUAGGGAUACCCGCUGAACUUAAGCAUAUCAAUAAGCGGAGGA
This 334-nucleotide unclassified non-coding RNA is filed under the name soil metagenome. RNAcentral's name for it is "partial contains 5.8S ribosomal RNA, internal transcribed spacer 2, and large subunit ribosomal RNA". The stretch from base 1 to 120 matches the Rfam family "5.8S ribosomal RNA", at positions 35 to 154 of the family's 154-position model. The record is from RNAcentral.